AUUAGUGGCGAACGGGUGAGUAACACGUGAGGAACUUGCCCAUGAGCGGGGGACAACAUUCGGAAACGGAUGCUAGUACCCCAUAGGUGGAUUGGUCGCAUGACGAAUUCAUUAAAGGUGGCUUCGCUACCACUCAUGGAUAGCCUCGCGGCGUAUUAGCUAGUUGGUAAGGUAAUGGCUUACCAAGGCAGUGAUACGUAGCCGACUUGAGAGGGUGAUCGGCCACACUGGGACUGAGACACGGCCCAGACUCCUACGGGAGGCAGCAGUAGGGAAUCUUCCACAAUGGGUGCAAACCUGAUGGAGCAAUGCCGCGUGAGUGAAGAAGGUCUUCGGAUCGUAAAGCUCUGUUGUUAGAGAAGAACACGUGCUAGGUAACUACUAGCGCCUUGACGGUAUCUAACCAGAAAGUCACGGCUAACUACGUGCCAGCAGCCGCGGUAAUACGUGGGUGACAAGCGUUGUCCGGAUUUAUUGGGCGUAAAGGGAGCGCAGGCGGUCUGUUUAGUCUAAUGUGAAAGCCCACGGCUUAACCGUGGAAUGGCAUUGGAAACUGACAGACUUGAAUGUAGAAGAGGAAAAUGGAAUUCCAAGUGUAGCGGUGGAAUGCGUAGAUAUUUGGAGGAACACCAGUGGCGAAGGCGAUUUUCUGGUCUAACAUUGACGCUGAGGCUCGAAAGCGUGGGGAGCGAACAGGAUUAGAUACCCUGGUAGUCCACGCCGUANACGAUGAGUGCUAAGUGUUGGGGGCUUUCCGGCCCUCGGUGCUGGAGCUAACGUAUUAAGCACUCCGCCUGGGGAUUACGACCGCAAGGUUGAAAC
RNAcentral lists this ribosomal RNA (822 nucleotides) under uncultured bacterium. Its description in RNAcentral is "bacterial SSU rRNA". It matches the Rfam family "Bacterial small subunit ribosomal RNA", at positions 91 to 900 of the family's 1533-position model. The record is from RNAcentral.